Molecule: ribosomal RNA, 433 nt
Filed under: uncultured bacterium
Lineage: Bacteria
Description: partial 16S ribosomal RNA
Rfam family: Bacterial small subunit ribosomal RNA
Source: RNAcentral
AACGAACGCUGGCGGCAUGCCUAACACAUGCAAGUCGAACGAGACCUUCGGGUCUAGUGGCGCACGGGUUCGUAACGCGUGGGAACCUGCCCUUAGGUUCGGAAUAACUCCCCGAAAGGGGUGCUAAUACCGGAUCAUGUCUUCGGACCAAAGAUUUAUCGCCUUUGGAUGUGCCCGCGUUGGAUUAGCUAGUUGGUAGGGUAAAAGCCUACCAAGGCGACGAUCCAUAGCUGGUCUGAGAGGAUGAUCAGCCACACUGGGACUGAGACACGGCCCAGACUCCUACGGGAGGCAGCAGUGGGGAAUAUUGGACAAUGGGCGAAAGCCUGAUCCAGCAAUGCCGCGUGAGUGAUGAAGGCCUUAGGGUUGUAAAGCUCUUUUAACCGGGAUGAUAAUGACAGUACCGGGAGAAUAAGCUCCGGCUAACUCCGUG